AUCUCUUAUUCCAAUUCAUUAACAGUUCAUUGUAAGGAGAUAUAUGUAUAUAUGAUGCACUCUUUAAUGGCAGCAAUGUUGUAUCAUUUUAACAAGACUACAAAAUUUAUCUUUCCAAAAGUAUAGCAACAACAAUUUUCACUCCAAAAUAUAGUAGCAACGUUGUCCAAUUUAAGCUCAAUCCAAGUUCAAUCAUAGUGAUCCUUCCGUUGAGUUGAGGAUUCUAACAUCGGUUUUUCCGAAUCUAGCAAGUAGAGAUUAGUUCAUGGUAAACUAAGAUUCACAAGUUUGGGAAGCUGACGUUAAGUUUAAAAAGCGACAAGGUACAGACACUCAGUUUGGUGAUCCUCCAGCCUAGGACUUCUGCUCAGCUGUUUGGAGAGCUCCAUUGUUUUGGAGCCUGAGUCAUUUUGGUACAGAUCCUCUGACAUAGAUUUAUGUGUAUCCAGGGGUAUGACAGGGCCCUGUCCCGUCAUAUUUCAUUAUUAUACUUUUAGAGGUAUGUAGACGUGUGUGGGUUGUAUAUAGGUUUUGGUCAGCUAUAUCAAUAUUGCCCGUUUUGGA
Nicotiana tabacum (common tobacco) is the source of this 564-nucleotide long non-coding RNA. RefSeq lists it as uncharacterized. NCBI's taxonomy places the organism in Eukaryota, Viridiplantae, Streptophyta, Magnoliopsida, Solanales, Solanaceae. The record is from RefSeq and is a predicted model, not a curated record.